Molecule: long non-coding RNA, 355 nt
Organism: Dioscorea cayenensis subsp. rotundata (Guinea yam)
Lineage: Eukaryota; Viridiplantae; Streptophyta; Magnoliopsida; Dioscoreales; Dioscoreaceae
Exons: 3
Source: RefSeq, a predicted model, not a curated record
CAUUCUUUCUUCUAUCCUUUUAGGGAGAGAGAGAGAGAGAGAGAGAGAGAGAGAGAGAGAGAGAGAGAGAGAGCUGUGAUCUCCUCCGGCAACUUCCGGAAAACUUCCGGUGCUGAACCUUGUAGUCGUAGUUGCAAGUUUUCUUCGCCUCAUCUUAUCACUCUUCCAAACUCUAGGAGGUUUUGGAGCUUGGAUUUCAGAUGGUUUCUCCUUUUGCCUCUCUUCACUUCUCUCUUUUCCAUCCAUCGAACCCAAUAUCUAUUGACGGAGAAGACGAAAGUGUUAAAUGGCCUGUGAAAUUGCACUGAUGCCCUUGAGAGAUAACUUGUGAGAUGAUUUAAUUGGCCAUCAUUUC